This is a long non-coding RNA of Malus domestica (apple), 815 nucleotides long. RefSeq lists it as uncharacterized. Lineage: Eukaryota; Viridiplantae; Streptophyta; Magnoliopsida; Rosales; Rosaceae. The record is from RefSeq and is a predicted model, not a curated record.
UUGACAACCAGUGGCGUGUAUAGUUCAUCAGCAGCUCCCUCUCACGUGACCCCAUGUCCACGGUCAGAUUCCUGACACGUGGGGAGCUUACAGGCCGCAUCCUGAGCUCAACCGAGUGAUCUGGUUGGACAUGAUGUGUUCAUCAUCAUCAUCUCUUUCUGUCUUAGUCUUUGAAGCUUUAGUUCCAGGCUUCACAGAAUCUUUCAGGUAAUCUUUUGCUUAGUUUGGAAAAAUCAAAGGCACACUCCAGACUAAAGCCCAAGAGAGACUCUUUAGCUUCAAAUCAAAUGGGAUACAUAAUUGUGGUAUCAGCGCCGGUUAUACUGUUCAUAAUGAUUGUAGCCCUUGCAUUUUACCUCCUUGGUAGGGCAACGGGCCGAAGACAAUCAUCUACUGCUCCACAGUAUUUUGGGCCUCCGGUGCCUCCACCCCAAGAGAAGUUCCCCGAGGUCUAGACGUAUUAUAAUCAGCUCAGUUUUCUUUUCAUAGUUUGACAUGUAUGCAUAAACUUUUGUGUUUGUAGCUUAAUGAGUAUACAUUUGUGUACAAGUCAACCCAAGAAUAUAAGGAGGAACGAGAACCAUUUUGAGAGUGCUAAGUUAUGUAUGACUCAUGUCAAGGUUAGGAUUCUGACGUGUUCUAAAGGAUCUACCUCUUUGGUCUUUUCUUUGGUUCCUUCUACGUCAAGUGCUCUUGUUUUUGAGACUUUAGGUCUUUUUCCUUUGUUGUAUACUGAUCGUGUUUCAUCCCUAUUGUAUGGAAACCUCCUAUGUUGGGGUGGACCAAGGUAAAUACUAAUCCGUCAUGUAAGUCUA